GACGAACCGUGCGAACGUUGUUCGGAAUCACUGGGCUUAAAGGGCGCGUAGGCGGUUGAUCAAGUCUGGGGUGAAAUCUUUCGGCUUAACCGGAAAAGUGCCUUGGAUACUGGUCAGCUGGAGGGAGGUAGGGGCAGUUGGAACUUCCAGUGGAGCGGUGAAAUGCAUUGAUAUUGGAAGGAACGCCGGUGGCGAAAGCGAGCUGCUGGACCUCUUCUGACGCUGAUGCGCGAAAGCUAGGGGAGCAAACGGG
This 253-nucleotide ribosomal RNA is filed under the name uncultured bacterium. Its description in RNAcentral is "partial 16S ribosomal RNA". It matches the Rfam family "Bacterial small subunit ribosomal RNA", at positions 524 to 776 of the family's 1533-position model. The record is from RNAcentral.